CGUUUGCCACAGAAACAGGUGUUAAAGAAAUAAAAAGCAGAAACGAUUUUUCACAUUUCAAAUUUCAAAUAUGGAGGACGAAAAUAAUUUAGAAAUUCAAACUCGAAUAAUCAAGCGAGUGUGGAAAAUGAAAGCAAAAUGGACAGUGGAAGAGACCGAGCGGCUGAUCCAAGAAGUAGAGUCCAGGGAAGGCACAUGUAAUUUUCUUUCCAUGAUUAUAGAGAUCGAAAUUUGCGAGAGGCUCAGUGGCAUGAAGUAGCAGACAUAUUAAAUAUUCCACGAUCAGAAGUAGCAGCCAAAUGGAACAGCCUUUGCUGCUCUUUUCGCGCGGCCUUCAACCGAAAGUCACAUACAAAAAGUGGUCAAGGGGCUGGAAGAACACCUACAAUGAACCCACUUUUUAAUUCUUUAAGGUUCCUGGAGCCCACCUUGCGUGUUGAAGAGAACACGACAUCAAAUUUAUUUAAUGCAAGUAUACGUCUGUAAAAAUAAUGCUACUUGUUUUUACAGGACAACGGGUGACCCCUCAAACAAUAUUGUUUGAGGCGCAAGAUACAAGUUUAUCUGGCGAAAUGCAACCAACGCCAUCCACUUCAAUCAAUUUAGGGAGAGGUCGAGCUCAAAAAGAUGAUGAUGAGUAUAUUCAAGUGGUGGAACGUGCACUGGAGACCCUCACAUCAGCUACCAAAAGUGACGCUUGGGAUGAUUUAGUAAAUUUUGUAUCAUCCAAUGGCCGAGAGUGGGCCCAAGAAUCUCCACAACUGGCCAAAGAAUUUAUGCGGGAUAUAUGUGAGUUGAUAUUCAAGU
This is a long non-coding RNA of Bactrocera neohumeralis, 807 nucleotides long. RefSeq lists it as uncharacterized. NCBI's taxonomy places the organism in Eukaryota, Metazoa, Arthropoda, Insecta, Diptera, Tephritidae. The record is from RefSeq and is a predicted model, not a curated record. The transcript has 3 exons.